This 311-nucleotide unclassified non-coding RNA is filed under the name plant metagenome. RNAcentral describes it as "partial contains 5.8S ribosomal RNA, internal transcribed spacer 2, and large subunit ribosomal RNA". The stretch from base 1 to 105 matches the Rfam family "5.8S ribosomal RNA", at positions 50 to 154 of the family's 154-position model. The record is from RNAcentral.
GAAAUGCGAUACGUAGUGUGAAUUGCAGAAUUCAGUGAAUCAUCGAAUCUUUGAACGCACAUUGCGCCCUUUGGUAUUCCAAAGGGCAUGCCUGUUCGAGCGUCAUUUGUACCCUCAAGCUUUGCUUGGUGUUGGGCGUUUUUUGUCUUUGGUUGCCAAAGACUCGCCUUAAAAGGAUUGGCAGCCGGCCUACUGGUUUCGCAGCGCAGCACAUUUUUGCGCUUGCAAUCAGCAAAAGAGGACGGCAAUCCAUCAAGACUCCUUCUCACGUUUGACCUCGGAUCAGGUAGAGAUACCCGCUGAACUCAAGC